Molecule: non-coding RNA, 71 nt
Organism: Phrynosoma platyrhinos (Desert horned lizard)
Lineage: Eukaryota; Metazoa; Chordata; Lepidosauria; Squamata; Phrynosomatidae
Source: the annotation of a GenBank genome assembly
GCCAGUGUGAUGUAGUGGUUUAAGAGUUGGACUAUGAUCCUGGAGGCCAGGGUUCAAAUCCCAGCCUGGCC